Molecule: ribosomal RNA, 432 nt
Filed under: uncultured bacterium
Lineage: Bacteria
Description: partial 16S ribosomal RNA
Rfam family: Bacterial small subunit ribosomal RNA
Source: RNAcentral
CCUACGGGGGGCAGCAGUGGGGAAUAUUGGACAAUGGGCGCAAGCCUGAUCCAGCCAUGCCGCGUGAGUGAUGAAGGCCUUAGGGUUGUAAAGCUCUUUUGUCCGGGACGCGGUACCGGAAGAAUAAGCCCCGGCUAACUUCGUGCCAGCAGCCGCGGUAAUACGAAGGGGGCUAGCGUUGCUCGGAAUCACUGGGCGUAAAGGGCGCGUAGGCGGCCUGAUCAGUCGGGGGUGAAAGCCUGUGGCUCAACCACAGAAUUGCCUUCGAUACUGUCAGGCUUGAGACCGGAAGAGGUAAGUGGAACUGCGAGUGUAGAGGUGAAAUUCGUAGAUAUUCGCAAGAACACCAGUGGCGAAGGCGGCUUACUGGUCCGGUCUGACGCUGAGGCGCGAAAGCGUGGGGAGCAAACAGGAUUAGAUACCCUUGUAGUC